GUGGGGAAUAUUGGACAAUGGGCGCAAGCCUGAUCCAGCCAUACCGCGUGGGUGAAGAAGGCCUUCGGGUUGUAAAGCCCUUUUGUUGGGAAAGAAAUCCAGCUGGCUAAUACCCGGUUGGGAUGACGGUACCCAAAGAAUAAGCACCGGCUAACUUCGUGCCAGCAGCCGCGGUAAUACGAAGGGUGCAAGCGUUACUCGGAAUUACUGGGCGUAAAGCGUGCGUAGGUGGUCGUUUAAGUCCGUUGUGAAAGCCCUGGGCUCAACCUGGGAACUGCAGUGGAUACUGGGCGACUAGAGUGUGGUAGAGGGUAGCGGAAUUCCUGGUGUAGCAGUGAAAUGCGUAGAGAUCAGGAGGAACAUCCAUGGCGAAGGCAGCUACCUGGACCAACACUGACACUGAGGCACGAAAGCGUGGGGAGCAAACAGGA
This 431-nucleotide ribosomal RNA is filed under the name uncultured bacterium. RNAcentral's name for it is "bacterial SSU rRNA". It matches the Rfam family "Bacterial small subunit ribosomal RNA", at positions 354 to 777 of the family's 1533-position model. The record is from RNAcentral.